This 458-nucleotide ribosomal RNA is filed under the name uncultured bacterium. RNAcentral describes it as "partial 16S ribosomal RNA". It matches the Rfam family "Bacterial small subunit ribosomal RNA", at positions 338 to 795 of the family's 1533-position model. The record is from RNAcentral.
CCUACGGGAGGCAGCAGUGGGGAAUAUUGCACAAUGGGGGAAACCCUGAUGCAGCGACGCCGCGUGAGUGAAGAAGUAAUUCGUUACGUAAAGCUCUAUCAGCAGGGAAGAAAUACUGACCUUACGGUCAGCAGACGGUACCUGAGUAAGAAGCCCCGGCUAACUACGUGCCAGCAGCCGCGGUAAUACGUAGGGGGCACGCGUUAUCCGGAUUUACUGGGUGUAAAGGGAGCGUAGACGGUGCGCCAAGUCUGGAGUGAAAUGCCCCAGCUUAACUGCGGAACCGCUUUGGAAACUGGCGAACUAGAGUGCGGGAGGGGUAAGCGGAAUUCCUAGUGUAGCGGUGAAAUGCGUAGAUAUUAGGAGGAACACCGGUGGCGAAGGCGGCUUACUGGACCGUAACUGACGUUGAGGCUCGAAAGCGUGGGGAGCAAACAGGAUUAGAUACCCCAGUAGUC